RNAcentral lists this ribosomal RNA (253 nucleotides) under uncultured bacterium. RNAcentral describes it as "partial 16S ribosomal RNA". It matches the Rfam family "Bacterial small subunit ribosomal RNA", at positions 524 to 776 of the family's 1533-position model. The record is from RNAcentral.
UACAGAGGUCUCGAGCGUUAGGCGGAAUCACUGGGCUUAAAGCGUGUGUAGGCGGAUCGGUAAGUACCUUGUGAAAUCCCACAGCUUAACUGUGGAACUGCUUGGUAUACUGCCAGUCUUGAGCCAGCUAGGGGCUACCGGAAUAAAUGGUGGAGCGGUGAAAUGCGUAGAUAUCAUUUGGAACGCCAAUGGUGAAAACAGGUAGCUGGGGCUGUGCUGACGCUGAGACACGAAAGCCAGGGGAGCGAACAGG